UGGGGAAUAUUGCACAAUGGGCGCAAGCCUGAUGCAGCGACGCCGCGUGAAGGAUGAAGGUCUUCGGAUUGUAAACUUCUAUCAGCAGGGAAGAAUAAAUGACGGUACCUGACUAAGAAGCCCCGGCUAACUACGUGCCAGCAGCCGCGGUAAUACGUAGGGGGCGAGCGUUAUCCGGAAUUACUGGGUGUAAAGGGUGCGUAGGCGGCUAUGCAAGUCAGAUGUGAAAACUCAGGGCUCAACUUUGAGGCUGCAUCUGAAACUGCGUAGCUAGAGUGUGGGAGAGGAAAGUGGAAUUCCGAGUGUAGCGGUGAAAUGCGUAGAGAUUCGGAGGAACACCAGUAGCGAAGGCGGCUUUCUGGACCAUAACUGACGCUGAGGCACGAAAGCGUGGGGAGCA
This 400-nucleotide ribosomal RNA is filed under the name uncultured bacterium. Its description in RNAcentral is "bacterial SSU rRNA". It matches the Rfam family "Bacterial small subunit ribosomal RNA", at positions 355 to 770 of the family's 1533-position model. The record is from RNAcentral.